CCUACGGGAGGCAGCAGUAGGGAAUCUUUCACAAUGGGCGAAAGCCUGAUGGAGCCACGCCGCGUGCAGGAUGAAGGCCUUCGGGUUGUAAACUGCUUUUAUAAGCGAGAAAUAUGAUGGUAACUUAUGAAUAAGGAACGGCUAACUACGUGCCAGCAGCCGCGGUCAUACGUAGGAUCCGAGCAUUAUCCGGAGUGACUGGGUGUAAAGAGUUGUGUAGGUGGCAUAAUAAGUAGCUAGUGAAAUCUGGUGGCUCAACCAUUCAGACUAUUAGCUAAACUGUUAAGCUCGAGACCGUUAGAGGCAGCUGGAAUUUCUGGUGUAGGAGUGAAAUCCGUAGAUAUUAGGAGGAACACCGAUAGCGUAGGCAGGAUGCUGGGACGGUUCUGACACUAAGGCACGAAAGCGUAGGGAGCAAACGGGAUUAGAUACCCCAGUAGUC
This 442-nucleotide ribosomal RNA is filed under the name uncultured bacterium. RNAcentral describes it as "partial 16S ribosomal RNA". It matches the Rfam family "Bacterial small subunit ribosomal RNA", at positions 338 to 795 of the family's 1533-position model. The record is from RNAcentral.